RNAcentral lists this long non-coding RNA (1402 nucleotides) under Homo sapiens (human). RNAcentral describes it as "non-protein coding lnc-EML4-1:1". The record is from RNAcentral. Lineage: Eukaryota; Metazoa; Chordata; Mammalia; Primates; Hominidae.
UGGCAGAAGAGAAGGUGAUGAUGAGGCUUUGGACUUUGAAUCGUGUCAAGAGGUGAAGGGGGGAUUAUGCACAAAUCCUUCCCUACUAUCCCUACAACCACAGCAUGGGGCAGAGGAACCGCUAGGCUGGUUCACUGUGGCACCUGCUGCCAGCAAAUGCCUGUUCUUCCUGCCUUCUCUGACCAUGGGCACAGAAGUCCUCAGUCCCUAAUGUUCAAUUUAAACCUAUUGGUGUUUUGAUCUUCCGUCCCUUCUCCCUGUUAGCAAUAUAAUCCUGUAGUCCUGAAAAUAGAUUUUCCUGAGGAGCCAUCCAUUUGACAGACAGAUGAAUAUGGACCACUGCUGAUGAUCUGUGUAACUCAACUUUAAUUAGAAUGACAACUAAUUGAAAGUAAUUUAAUGCUAGUUCAUGAAAGAUUAAUGGAAUUCAUGUUUUGGAGAUGCUGAAUGCAACACAGAUUUGGCCUGAAACACAAAUCUAACCUUUAUUCACUUUAAUUAUUCAGUCAGAAUCAUUUCCUGGGAGCAAGUCUAGUCUCUGGACGGCUCUAAUCAAACACCACUGAACUUUGAAGACAUCAACUCAUUCAGCUGCAACUCAAUUUUCAAAUUAAUCUGCCACAUAACAUGGAGGCUUUGUGGCCUAAGCAGGGGGCAGGUGGGAGGGGAAGAUGGGGUUAAAGCCCUCCCAGGUAUGAACUGAUUCUAGAGCAUCUGACCUUCCCCACCCUCUCUAGUGGCGAGGCACUUCCGGAACUGGUGCCAGGUCUUCCUAUGAGAGGCUGAGCUGAGCAACCACGCUGCCUCCAUGCUUGAGCUCAGGGCUCCACACUCACAACUGAAGCCUAAGCCUGGUACAGCUGGAACCCUGAAGGGGGCCCUGGACCAGCAGAGCCUGCCUCUUCCACCCUAGCCUAGCUGCCCUUCCCUGCUCUCUCCCUCUCCCUAGGAGAGCUGAGACGAGGGACUUGAGCUCUCUGCUUGGCAAGAUGCCCUCAGAAACCACCCCAAUUUCUGCACCCACUUAUUCCUUGGCCCUUCAGGCAGGCACCAGGUACGGCCCACACAGACUCAGCCUCUCCUUCCCUGCCUUGGAAAACCCAGGUCCCUAACUCCAUCUGCUUUACUUUACAGCCCUUCCAAGGCUUCUUCCUAAAACCUUCUCUGCCAAAGGGGAGGCAACGCCACCAUUUCUCACAGCCUGGGGCAGCUUGGAAUGUGAUAUUUGGAGUCAGCAAAGAUUCCAAUCUGGCUAAUACACAUUAGGCAGUGUAGAGACCUGUGCUUUGGCCCUGAGGCACAGCCAUGUGACCAUGACUAAUCUAUGUCAUAUAACUGCAUGGCCUGGAGGAGGUGAGUAGAGGGAAGGACCCUGUAUUAACAGCAUCUCAUCCAGACAGCA